This 292-nucleotide ribosomal RNA is filed under the name uncultured bacterium. Its description in RNAcentral is "partial 16S ribosomal RNA". It matches the Rfam family "Bacterial small subunit ribosomal RNA", at positions 505 to 796 of the family's 1533-position model. The record is from RNAcentral.
GUGUCAGCAGCCGCGGUAAUACGGAGGAUGCAAGCGUUAUCCGGAAUGAUUGGGCGUAAAGCGUCCGCAGGUGGCUAUGUAAGUCUGCUGUUAAAGAGUGAGGCUCAACCUCAUAAGAGCAGUGGAAACUACAUAGCUAGAGUGCGUUCGGGGCAGAGGGAAUUCCUGGUGUAGCGGUGAAAUGCGUAGAUAUCAGGAAGAACACCGGUGGCGAAAGCGCUCUGCUAGGCCGCAACUGACACUGAGGGACGAAAGCUAGGGGAGCGAAUGGGAUUAGAUACCCCAGUAGUCC